RNAcentral lists this small nucleolar RNA (101 nucleotides) under Dichanthelium oligosanthes. RNAcentral's name for it is "Small nucleolar RNA snR60/Z15/Z230/Z193/J17". It matches the Rfam family "Small nucleolar RNA snR60/Z15/Z230/Z193/J17". Rfam says of the family: The members of this family belong to the C/D class of snoRNAs which contain the C (UGAUGA) and D (CUGA) box motifs. Most of the members of the box C/D family function in directing site-specific 2'-O-methylation of substrate RNAs. The family includes the yeast snoRNA snR60 (also known as Z15) and the corresponding human guide snoRNA U80 (SNORD80). The record is from Rfam by way of RNAcentral. Lineage: Eukaryota; Viridiplantae; Streptophyta; Magnoliopsida; Poales; Poaceae.
UAAGGCCGGAUGAUGAGUGAUAUGCAUAGUUCAGAUGAUCUAACCCUAGUGGUUGUGAUUACUUAGAAUAAAUAGUCUUUCGCUCCUAACUGACGGCCUUG